RNAcentral lists this ribosomal RNA (253 nucleotides) under uncultured bacterium. RNAcentral's name for it is "partial 16S ribosomal RNA". It matches the Rfam family "Bacterial small subunit ribosomal RNA", at positions 524 to 776 of the family's 1533-position model. The record is from RNAcentral.
UACGAAGGGGACUAGCGUUGUUCGGAAUCACUGGGCGUAAAGCGCACGUAGGCGGAUUUGUUAGUCAGGGGUGAAAUCCCGGGGCUCAACCUCGGAACUGCCUUUGAUACUGCAAGUCUCGAGUCCGAUAGAGGUGGGUGGAAUUCCUAGUGUAGAGGUGAAAUUCGUAGAUAUUAGGAAGAACACCGGUGGCGAAGGCGGCCCACUGGAUCGGUACUGACGCUGAGGUGCGAAAGCGUGGGGAGCAAACAGG